AAAUUAUGUGGGGCCAGGGCUGGAGGUAACYGGUAGGGAACUGGACCCUGAGGUACCAUGGUGUGUGAAACACAGGGAUCUUUCCAGCCUGAAAAUGAGAAUGGUCGCUUUGUCACACGUCACUUUGUCAAACCCCACCAUGAGCAUCCUCUUGAAAGUCCCACUGGUGCUCAGCAGGGGCUUCCCGGUGCUUCCACUGCACAACAGCUUCAUCCUCAUCACAGCCCAGGGCUGUGGGAUCAGAGUUGGACCUGCAGCUCCAGUUCYCGGCUGCUCUGGACCAUGCCAAGUCUGCAGUGUUUCCAGGUUGAUGAUGGCCUGCAUCAAUGAGAGCCYGGGAUUACAUUGCUGGGAUUUUCUCUACAUGGGAAGGAAGAACAUAUUCAAUAAACCAACUGUACCCAGGCUGCACAGUAACACAUGCCCCAGGUAUCAAACAGCGGGACAAAGGCGGACAGAGCAGAAGGAUAAGCCAGGCUCAGACACUGAACCAAGGUCAGGGAACCCAGGCAAGUGCCUCAGGAACUUCCACCUCACUUGCUGUAAAAAUCAGAUGUAGGUGUUUUGUGCACCUUGUGAGGAACUGCRAGGUGAGCAAGCACAGCACUGUGGAUGGGGCAGGUGACUGCUGCUCCCAGAAAGCCUCAGGCAUCUGUGGGAUGCAAAGUACAAUCCCUAAAGAGAGCCUACCCAGCGCUGCACAAACCGUGCAGUCAGCACUGCCCAGGUGCUUAGGCUGACAUUUUGAAGCRUGACGUGCAGAAGUGAAGAGUUCUUGCAGAUAAAUCUGUUAUAACUGAGAAUUUAUACAACUUCUGACUCAAUUAGAUGCUUGGCCAUGUUCUAUUUUCUGACAAAAUCAGGCCGUUGAGUAUUUCUAAUUGGAUCUCUGAAAUGAAAAGAUAUUUUUUAUUAUUCCGUCUGUACACCCGAGUUCCUCGUCUGUAAAAUAAGGGCAACACCGGUUCUCACUCCAGUGUUGAGAAAAUAAAUUAGAGUUUGUGAAGCAUUUGGAUACCAUAGUGAUGAGUCCCAUGGAAAAGCUCAGGAGGAAAUGAAUAAAUCUAUCUUCAGAACAAUAUUUGAAUAGUCUGCUGUAAAUAAAGCACGGGCCACACAGUGAACAGCGAGGAGAAAAUAAAAUUAUUACGUAGCGAACACAGUCUAUUCUGUACAAGGAGUGAGCCCGGGAGCCUGUCAAAGGAACAGCGUGUGAUCUAAUUACAAUUAAAUACUAUAUCAUAAUGCAAACGCACA
Molecule: long non-coding RNA, 1257 nt
Organism: Malurus melanocephalus (red-backed fairy wren)
Lineage: Eukaryota; Metazoa; Chordata; Aves; Passeriformes; Maluridae
Exons: 3
Source: RefSeq, a predicted model, not a curated record